GGUCAAGCGAACAAGUGCAUGUGGUGGAUGCCUUGGCGAUCACAGGCGAUGAAGGACGCGGUAGCCUGCGAAAAGCCCCGGGGAGCUGGCAAACAAGCUUUGAUCCGGGGAUGUCCGAAUGGGGAAACCCACUCCGUAUGGAGUAUCCAUGACUGAAUACAUAGGUCAUGUGAAGCGAACGCGGUGAACUGAAACAUCUAAGUAACCGCAGGAAAAGAAAUCAACCGAGAUUCCCAAAGUAGUGGCGAGCGAAAUGGGAUGAGCCUUGUACUCUUUAUUUGUAUUGUUAGCCGAACGCUCUGGAAAGUGCGGCCAUAGCAGGUGAUAGCCCUGUAGGCGAAAACAGUAUGAAAGAACUAGGUGUACGACAAGUAGGGCGGGACACGUGAAAUCCUGUCUGAAGAUGGGGGGACCAUCCUCCAAGGCUAAAUACUCGUGAUCGACCGAUAGUGAACCAGUACCGUGAGGGAAAGGCGAAAAGAACCCCGGGAGGGGAGUGAAAUAGAUCCUGAAACCGCAUGCAUACAAACAGUCGGAGCCUCGUAAGGGGUGACGGCGUACCUUUUGUAUAAUGGGUCAGCGACUUACGUUCAGUAGCAAGCUUAACCGUAUAGGGCAGGCGUAGCGAAAGCGAGUCCGAAUAGGGCGUUCAGUUGCUGGGCGUAGACCCGAAACCAGGUGAUCUAUCCAUGGCCAGGAUGAAGGUGCGGUAACACGUACUGGAGGUCCGAACCCACUAACGUUGAAAAGUUAGGGGAUGAGCUGUGGAUAGGGGUGAAAGGCUAAACAAACCUGGAAAUAGCUGGUUCUCUCCGAAAACUAUUUAGGUAGUGCCUCGUGUCUCACCUUCGGGGGUAGAGCACUGUCAUGGUUGGGGGGUCUAUUGCAGAUUACCCCGCCAUAGCAAACUCCGAAUACCGAAGAGUGCAAUCACGGGAGACAGACAUCGGGUGCUAACGUCCGGUGUCAAGAGGGAAACAACCCAGACCGCCAGCUAAGGUCCCCAAAUAUGGCUAAGUGGGAAACGAAGUGGGAAGGCUAAAACAGUCAGGAGGUUGGCUUAGAAGCAGCCACCCUUUAAAGAAAGCGUAAUAGCUCACUGAUCGAGUCGUCCUGCGCGGAAGAUGUAACGGGGCUAAGCCAUAUACCGAAGCUGCGGAUGCGUGCUUGCACGCAUGGUAGGAGAGCGUUCCGUAAGCCUGCGAAGGUGCCUUGUAAAGGGUGCUGGAGGUAUCGGAAGUGCGAAUGCUGACAUGAGUAGCGAUAAAGGGGGUGAAAGGCCCCCUCGCCGUAAGCCCAAGGUUUCCUACGCAACGUUCAUCGGCGUAGGGUGAGUCGGCCCCUAAGGCGAGGCAGAAAUGCGUAGCUGAUGGGAAGCAGGUCAAUAUUCCUGCACCAUUGUUAGAUGCGAUGGGGGGACGGAUCGCGGAAGGUUGUCCGGGUGUUGGACGUCCCGGUCGCUGCAUUGGAGAAGGCGCUUAGGCAAAUCCGGGCGCAGGAUUCAAGGGUGUGGCGCGAGCGACUUCGGUCGCGAAGCAAUUGGAAGUGGUUCCAAGAAAAGCCUCUAAGCUUCAGUCUAACGAUGACCGUACCGCAAACCGACACAGGUGGGCGAGAUGAGUAUUCUAAGGCGCUUGAGAGAACUCGGGAGAAGGAACUCGGCAAAUUGGUACCGUAACUUCGGGAUAAGGUACGCCCUUGUAGCUUGACUGGCCUGCGCCAGGAGGGUGAAGGGGUUGCAAUAAACUGGUGGCUGCGACUGUUUAAUAAAAACACAGCACUCUGCAAACACGAAAGUGGACGUAUAGGGUGUGACGCCUGCCCGGUGCCGGAAGAUUAAAUGAUGGGGUGCAAGCUCUUGAUUGAAGUCCCGGUAAACGGCGGCCGUAACUAUAACGGUCCUAAGGUAGCGAAAUUCCUUGUCGGGUAAGUUCCGACCUGCACGAAUGGCGUAACGAUGGCCACACUGUCUCCUCCCGAGACUCAGCGAAGUUGAAGUGUUUGUGAUGAUGCAAUCUACCCGCGGCUAGACGGAAAGACCCCAUGAACCUUUACUGUAGCUUUGCAUUGGACUUUGAACCGAUCUGUGUAGGAUAGGUGGGAGGCUAUGAAACCGGAACGCUAGUUUCGGUGGAGCCGUCCUUGAAAUACCACCCUGGUUUGUUUGAGGUUCUAACCUUGGUCCGUGAUCCGGAUCGGGGACAGUGCAUGGUAGGCAGUUUGACUGGGGCGGUCUCCUCCCAAAGGGUAACGGAGGAGUACGAAGGUACGCUAGGUACGGUCGGAAAUCGUGCUGAUAGUGCAAUGGCAUAAGCGUGCUUAACUGCGAGACCGACAAGUCGAGCAGGUGCGAAAGCAGGUCAUAGUGAUCCGGUGGUUCUGUAUGGAAGGGCCAUCGCUCAACGGAUAAAAGGUACUCUGGGGAUAACAGGCUGAUACCGCCCAAGAGUUCAUAUCGACGGCGGUGUUUGGCACCUCGAUGUCGGCUCAUCUCAUCCUGGGGCUGUAGCCGGUCCCAAGGGUAUGGCUGUUCGCCAUUUAAAGAGGUACGUGAGCUGGGUUUAAAACGUCGUGAGACAGUUUGGUCCCUAUCUGCCGUGGGCGUUGGAUAUUUGAAGGGGGCUGCUCCUAGUACGAGAGGACCGGAGUGGACGAACCUCUGGUGUACCGGUUGUGACGCCAGUCGCAUCGCCGGGUAGCUAUGUUCGGAAGAGAUAACCGCUGAAAGCAUCUAAGCGGGAAACUCGCCUUAAGAUGAGAUAUCCCUGGAGGCUUGACCUCCUUGAAGGGUCGUUCGAGACCAGGACGUUGAUAGGUCGGGUGUGUAAGCGCAGUAAUGCGUUCAGCUAACCGAUACUAAUUGCCCGUAAGGCUUGAUCCU
RNAcentral lists this ribosomal RNA (2881 nucleotides) under Burkholderia multivorans. RNAcentral's name for it is "23S ribosomal RNA". It matches the Rfam family "Bacterial large subunit ribosomal RNA". The record is from RNAcentral. Lineage: Bacteria; Pseudomonadati; Pseudomonadota; Betaproteobacteria; Burkholderiales; Burkholderiaceae.